UUACCGUUGCCUAGAGAUGAAGUCCUCUAUUUAAACACAGAACAGGUACAGCUUCAGCAGUAGCAGUGCAAACUUCCUCAGCCUUGCUUCAACCUUGAUCUUGAAGGACUUCUUCUAAAUGACAGUGUGAAAUCCUGGCUCUGUUAAAGUGAAAGGCAAAACUCCC
RNAcentral lists this small RNA (166 nucleotides) under Chelonoidis abingdonii (Abingdon island giant tortoise). Its description in RNAcentral is "TUC338 (ENSCABG00000013653.1)". The record is from RNAcentral. Lineage: Eukaryota; Metazoa; Chordata; Testudines; Testudinidae.